UGCCUGCCCGGUGAUUAAAAAAUUAAACGGCUGCGGUACUCUGACCGUGCAAAGGUAGCAUAAUCAUUAGCUUGUUAAUUUCAGGCUGGAAUCAAUGGCAAGACGAAGGAAAGACUGUCUCUUUCUAUUAUUUUUUAACUUUUCUUUUUGGUGAAGAGUCCAAAGUAAAUAAGUGGGACGAGAAGACCCUAUUGAGUUUUAGUUGUUUUUUUGAAAAGUUUUCUAUAAAAUAACUUUGGUUGGGGCAACUGUUUAUUUAAUUUAACAUAAGUAAUAUUAAAACUGAUUUAAAUCUUUAUAAAACCCUUAAUUAUUAAGGAACUAAAAAAAAUUACCAUAGGGAUAACAGCGUAAUUCUUUUUGAGAGUGCUUAUUGACAAAGGAGUUUGCGACCUCGAUGUUGGAUCAAGUUUUCCUGAGGGUGCAGUAGUUUUCAAAGGUUGGUUUGUUCAACCAUAAAAAUCUU
RNAcentral lists this ribosomal RNA (466 nucleotides) under Astroclon propugnatoris. Its description in RNAcentral is "partial 16S ribosomal RNA". It matches the Rfam family "Bacterial large subunit ribosomal RNA", at positions 1856 to 2597 of the family's 2925-position model. Lineage: Eukaryota; Metazoa; Echinodermata; Ophiuroidea; Euryalida; Gorgonocephalidae. The record is from RNAcentral.